GGGUCUGUAGCUCAGUCGGUUAGAGCAGGGGACUCAUAAUCCCUUGGUCGUUGGUUCGAGUCCAACCAGACCCA
Molecule: transfer RNA, 74 nt
Organism: Nitrosovibrio sp. Nv17
Lineage: Bacteria; Pseudomonadati; Pseudomonadota; Betaproteobacteria; Nitrosomonadales; Nitrosomonadaceae
Rfam family: tRNA
About the family: Transfer RNA (tRNA) molecules are approximately 80 nucleotides in length. Their secondary structure includes four short double-helical elements and three loops (D, anti-codon, and T loops). Further hydrogen bonds mediate the characteristic L-shaped molecular structure. tRNAs have two regions of fundamental functional importance: the anti-codon, which is responsible for specific mRNA codon recognition, and the 3' end, to which the tRNAs corresponding amino acid is attached (by aminoacyl-tRNA synthetases). tRNAs cope with the degeneracy of the genetic code in two manners: having more than one tRNA (with a specific anti-codon) for a particular amino acid; and 'wobble' base-pairing, i.e. permitting non-standard base-pairing at the 3rd anti-codon position.
Source: Rfam